Molecule: long non-coding RNA, 204 nt
Filed under: Elaeis guineensis (African oil palm)
Lineage: Eukaryota; Viridiplantae; Streptophyta; Magnoliopsida; Arecales; Arecaceae
Description: long non-coding RNA (EGUI_LNC012904)
Source: RNAcentral
GAUGGGAAAAGAGAGAUAGAAGAAGAGAGAGAGGAAGAUGGAGGUUUCAGAAGAAGAAGGAAUUAAUUUUCUCUAGGACCUACAGGAUCCUUUUAUUAAUCUUCAAGGUCUCAAUUUAGGAAUUAUACAACCAUAUUUUUCUCUAAUUAGAAAGAUUACAUUCUUAAUUAGAGGGGUCUAUAGCUUAUUUCAACACUCCCCCUC